Molecule: non-coding RNA, 258 nt
Organism: Vicia faba (fava bean)
Lineage: Eukaryota; Viridiplantae; Streptophyta; Magnoliopsida; Fabales; Fabaceae
Source: the annotation of a GenBank genome assembly
AUGGACCACAAUGAAAGCAGAAUUUCCAACGGUGGGUGUGUAAAAGAGUCCCACAUCGGACAUGAACAUAUAUUUAUAAGUGGGAGAAAUCCUUACCUUAUUAGCCGGUUUUGUAUGGUUGAGUUAGGCUCAACCACAAUUCUAAAAAAUAGUGUCUUUUCUUGCUUCUGUCUGUGGGUUAAAUUGAGAACUGAUUUAUCAUGUAGGAAUAGUAUUAAUCAUGUAUCUUGUAAAAUAGUGGAUAUUUCAUAUAUUUGA